This 1659-nucleotide long non-coding RNA is filed under the name Gossypium raimondii (Peruvian cotton). RNAcentral describes it as "long non-coding RNA (GRAI_LNC006285)". Lineage: Eukaryota; Viridiplantae; Streptophyta; Magnoliopsida; Malvales; Malvaceae. The record is from RNAcentral.
UUUCAGCCGCACGACAAAAAUUUGGGCAUUCCUGCCUCUCAACCGCUGCAAGUCUGAAACCAUUCUUUGCCGUUCCAAAACCCAAGCCUCCGCCCAUCCCACUCUGCUUCACAGGGAAGAAGGCUUCAUUGGCGUCGACGUCGAGGUAAGAUCCCUUACCUUUCUUUAUGUUUGUUCGUAUAUAAAAUAAGAACAAAUCGAAGAAGACAACAAAGAAAAAAAAUAAAAUAAAAUCAAAAUCAAACGAAGUCGGAGAAUCACUUAAACGAUGUAUUCUUUCUUGUUUUUUGAAUUUUUUUUUGUAUUUUUGUCUUAUAAAAUCUUCGUAACCUCUUACAAAUUCUGUUUAAUGGCAUUAUAUAGCCGAAGAAAUGACAGAAUGAAAAUCAAAAGAAAAAAUACAGAAAAAUCUUGCACUAUUUACUGCCUUUUUCUUGCUAUCCCUUGCUGUUGUUUUGUCUGCUUCUGUUUAUUGCAGGUACGGAGGCCAGCUGGAGUGUACGGAGGCUCGCGUGGAUUUGGCACAGAGGCGCUACACGCGUGCGGACGCAACAUGCGCGAGGAGGAGGCCUGGCUCUGCUGCGGCGGUGGAGGCUGAAUGCUGCUAGGGUUUGCUGAUUUCUGGUUUAGGCUAGUUGGGCUAGGGUAUUGGGCUUAGGCUAAUCGGGUUUAGGCUAGUGGGUUAAUUGGGUUUGGUGGGUGUUUUGUAAUCUGGACAUUGGACUUUUAGUAUUUUUGUUUUUAUUAUUUAUAUUGGGCCGGGCAAUAUUGGGCCAUUACAAAAUCUAUGUAUAGUCAUAGCCUUACCCUGCAACUUGACCAUCAACAAAUCAUGGCCCCCGAUAAUUAACAAUGGAUAAAUUCAAGGACUUCACGAUUUGGUUCCUAUGUGCGGAAUAAGUAAGAACUCUACAGUUAGUCGGUCAUGAUCACCACUGUAAAGAAAUCUACAGUCAAUAGUAGGUAUUGAUACACAAACGCAUGUAUCAAUAUUUUGGGGAAAAUGUAUCGAUACGGGCAAGAAAAUCGAUACCAAACUAGCAUUGUGCCAAUUUUAAAUAAAAAUAUUUUAUUGAUACAUGAGUAAAGGUAUCGGUAUUUUUACCGCGAUUAUUGAUACUCGUUUUUGGGUAUCGAUACCAAAUUGAGCUACUGACUUCUCGAAAACACAUUUCAACUCUGAGGCAUCGAUAUCUAUGUUCCGAGUAUCGAUACCUCUGCCCAGGCUUGCAAAAACACAACAAAACUGACAUAAAUCACACUGAAACAUUUUCCUUAACAACAUGCAUCAAUAAUCUCAUCAUCCAACAUAAAAAAAAAAGUAUAAACAAUUCAAACAACAUCAAUAUUCCAGUUGUCCAAACCAAAAAUAAUAAUAAACAUCCAUCAACUCCUAAAAGUCUAAAUUCAUAAUAAGCCUUUAAAAACAUAAUAAUCAUCAGCCAAAAUCUCUAACCACAUUGCUUUUAUUCCCACAGUUCAAACAAUAAUAAUGUCACCUACUCAAUUUUCUAAAGCCUAACUUGGAUCACUUCUUUGGAAACCACUUCGCUCACAUCGGUAACGCUAAUUAUCUGCAAUGGUUUAAAAAGGGGUGUGUGAGCGUAAACAAGCUCAGUGAAUGAUCGAAAAAAUACUAAUAAACAUAAUAUCAUACCG